GACGAACGCUGGCGGCGUGCUUAACACAUGCAAGUCGAACGAAGAGCGAUGGAAGCUUGCUUCUAUCACUCUUAGUGGCGAACGGGUGAGUAACGCGUAAUCAACCUGCCCUUCAGAGGGGGACAACAGUUGGAAACGACUGCUAAUACCGCAUACGAUCUAAUCUCGGCAUCGAGGAUAGAUGAAAGGUGGCCUCUACAUGUAAGCUAUCACUGAAGGAGGGGAUUGCGUCUGAUUAGCUAGUUGGAGGGGUAACGGCCCACCAAGGCGAUGAUCAGUAGCCGGUCUGAGAGGAUGAACGGCCACAUUGGGACUGAGACACGGCCCAGACUCCUACGGGAGGCAGCAGUGGGGAAUCUUCCGCAAUGGACGAAAGUCUGACGGAGCAACGCCGCGUGAGUGAUGACGGCCUUCGGGUUGUAAAGCUCUGUUAAUCGGGACGAAAGGCCUUCUUGCGAAUAGUGAGAAGGAUUGACGGUACCGGAAUAGAAAGCCGCGGCUAACUACGUG
RNAcentral lists this ribosomal RNA (510 nucleotides) under uncultured bacterium. Its description in RNAcentral is "partial 16S ribosomal RNA". It matches the Rfam family "Bacterial small subunit ribosomal RNA", at positions 28 to 507 of the family's 1533-position model. The record is from RNAcentral.